This 268-nucleotide ribosomal RNA is filed under the name uncultured Sphingomonas sp. Its description in RNAcentral is "partial 16S ribosomal RNA". It matches the Rfam family "Bacterial small subunit ribosomal RNA", at positions 107 to 392 of the family's 1533-position model. Lineage: Bacteria; Pseudomonadati; Pseudomonadota; Alphaproteobacteria; Sphingomonadales; Sphingomonadaceae. The record is from RNAcentral.
UGCGUAACGCGUGGGAAUCUGCCCUUGGGUUCGGAAUAACAGUGAGAAAUCACUGCUAAUACCGGAUGAUGUCUUCGGACCAAAGAUUUAUCGCCCAGGGAUGAGCCCGCGUAGGAUUAGGUAGUUGGUGGGGUAAAGGCCCACCAAGGCGACGAUCCUUAGCUGGUCUGAGAGGAUGAUCAGCCACACUGGGACUGAGACACGGCCCAGACUCCUACGGGAGGCAGCAGUGGGGAAUAUUGGACAAUGGCGCAAGCCUGAUCCAGCA